UUUGUGUGACUAAAUUUGGCAAGAAUAUGGAUCGGAGCCAGGCUUUCCACGUGUGCUCCCAGCUCCCAGCUGAGAAGGCCAAGGGUUCUCUUCCGGAUGUGGGCAUCUCUGUUACCAGCAAUGCGGUGGGGUGGAUGGUCACACUCGUGCACCCACUGUUGGGAGCCCCUCCACACGGCUCAGCAGUUGUGUUACAAGGCCAUGACAACCAUGGCGGCGUUUGCUACCCCCACGGGGGUGUGAUGAGAGAUGGACCGUUCCCAGGAGAGAGGGAGUACACCCUGCCCCGUGUUCACGGUGCGCUCUUAACGACCUCGCAGAUGUGGCCUUUUUGAAAUUCAAGUCCUGGCCAAAAGAGGAACACGGACCGGACACUGAGGAUUCUGUCUUCUUUGAAGGGGUGCGGGUAGAGAGGAACUGAAAAUACUCGAGGAAAACCUGGGGCCCUCUGCUGAAGGAAUUAAGCUCCGAGGACACCAGCGUGGCUAAGGGAUUUACUGUUUUUUAAGUGUAUUUAUCUAUUUCAAGACAGAAACAGAGACGACGCCACAAGGGUCCUGAUUCCCCCACGUGGCGUGGGCACACAUGAGCUGGCCUCCUCAGGAAGGUCUCUGGACAGCAGCCCGGACCCUCCCCGCCGGGGUCCUCCCUGUGCUGUCAGGCCCCCAGGAUGCACUGAAGCAGCUGUUUCCCAGAGAUCAGAGUCCCCAGUGGGUAUGGGAAUGGAGGAGUUUCUGCAGUCCUGGUAAACGCAUCUCCCACGGGGCCUGGAUCCUAUUCUCGGCCCCCUGGGCUCUGUCGGCGUUGAGAAAGCACCUAAUCCCGGUCUGAGGUUAGAAGCCAAAGCCACAACCUCCUGGCCUGCAGGCGAGAGCAGCCCCCAGAGCCUGCGGAGAUACAGCGAGCGGGUCAUUUGUCUUCCUGUGGCUCUGCGUAAAUCCAGCUGCGUGGUUGCAGCCUGCCUUUGAUGUGUGUCAUCUGUACAUUUUAGUGCUCCAGGAAAGUGCCUGUCAGGGUCUACGUCCAACGCCCACAGAACGCACCCACACGAGCACAGUGAAGCGUGAGUGGAAUAAUGUUCCAGAGAGUUCCAUCAGAGUAAACAGACCAACCUGGAGGGUCGGGAAGAGCCUCCUUUUUCUUGAGACUUGACUUUUGGGCAUCCUUGUGACUGGCUUCUAUUUGUUUCCAGCCGAAGCUGGGAGCAGCUCCCAAUCUUCUUUUACCCUAGAGGUGGGACUUGGCCCAGGCCACAUUUGACCCAGAGGAUGCUCUGUUUUGAAGUACUUCUGUCCGUAAAAACCGACUCACCAACUGACCUUAUCUUUACUGGUGUCUACAUUUAUCCGGGACACGGCCCGUUUCUAGUUCUCUCCUGAACUCCGUUUGGCUUGUCCAGCCAUGCUCAAACUCACAAUUAACAAUGUUCAAGAGUGAAUUCAGAAAGCAGAGAGAGCCGAUGCAAGUAGUGUAGGCUACCACCACCAUCUGGCCCGCUGCGCACUUGUCUCGGGUGAAAACGAGCUAAUUUGCUUUAUGUGAGUGUGACGUACGGGUCUUGCCAGCCAACCUGCCAGUUACAGCACUCCAGCGCCCCCUUAGGAGAAGUGGCGGGAGCCCUGGAGCAGAGCUGAGUGGGCUCCCGGAGGCGGUCAUCCCUGCCAGUUCAGAUAACUAGACUCCCAACCGUAAUUCUGGCUUGAGUUAUCCGGAUACUUCAUCUUUUCAGUUCCAGUUCUCUGCAUAAUUCAAAGGUUGUGUUGCCUGGUGGUGUAGGAACCGCAAGUCUGAUGGUGGUGGAGUUGCACCUCGCUGAGGCUCUAUCCUCCCACCCAAGCUCUCCUUGCGCCCCACAGCUGCCUCCUCCCAGUCUCUGCUCACACUCUGGCUGGACUCCAUGCAAGCCCCACAAGGGCUCAGGCUUCCGAGAGCGGUCAAAGCCGCAUAUCACCUCCCCAAGUGGCUCCCAAGCCCUCACCUGGCUUCAGGCUCCCCUUCUUGAUCUCCAGCACAGCCAGCUGCCCAGCCACACCUGCCGUGUCAUGGGCACUGUUGGUCUGUAGUGCCUGCCUGCAGCAGCUCCGGCCCGAGGGGUAGAGGGCUCUGUUAUGAUGCAGUUGUGAAACUAAACAGUUUGGCAUUUCUAACUGAAUAUUGCUGAUAUUUAGAAAAUGUAGUGUUUUUAGUAUAGUCCUUUAUCUGACCAUCUGUGGAACCCAAUUCUUAAUUUAAAUACACAUGGGUUCUUCAUUAAAAAAAAAAAAUGAUGGGGCCAGCAGGAGGCGUGAUGGUUACGGCGCUGGUCUCGUACAUGGCCGACCACAGUCCAAGUCUCGGACCUGGCCACUCGCUUUCUCUCUCUCUCUCUCUCUCUGUCUCUGGUGAGUGCACAUUCCCUAUAUAGAAUUUUAAAAAUAAUAAUAAAUAAAAUAAAAGCAAUUAUUUUAAGAAAAAUAAAAUUAGAGAGAGUAGAAAACCCAUAUUAUGAGAAAACCGCAUAGAUUCAAAAUUGUUUUGCACCAAAAUCAAUGAACUUAAUUACAGUGUUUUACAUAUUAGGUAAGCUAUUGCCACAGUUCUUUGCCUGUAAUUGCUGGGCAACAAUUAGUUCAAGGGUGUUGCUGAGUUUUCUGAGUAUUUUUCUACAUUCUAAGUAAUGGACUUGCUGUACGUUGAUUUUCUGUAUAAUGUAAAUUUGCCAAACUUGCAACUUUCUAAGAGUCGUCCAGCAUCAGAGGUUUCUUAGAAAAUGUCAGAGUGUCUUCAAAAAGUUCUUGGAA
This is a long non-coding RNA of Tupaia belangeri chinensis (Chinese tree shrew), 2780 nucleotides long. RefSeq lists it as uncharacterized. The transcript is spliced from 3 exons. The record is from RefSeq and is a predicted model, not a curated record. Lineage: Eukaryota; Metazoa; Chordata; Mammalia; Scandentia; Tupaiidae.